UUUGUCUGUAGCCCACCCACCGUGGGCUGCGAUCUUGUCAGACCUCCCAAGCUAAGUAGGGGGUGGCUUAUUCAGUACUUGAAUGGGAGACCUGGCAGGAGACUCACAGCACUGCCAGAA
Molecule: ribosomal RNA, 120 nt
Filed under: Chelonoidis abingdonii (Abingdon island giant tortoise)
Lineage: Eukaryota; Metazoa; Chordata; Testudines; Testudinidae
Source: RNAcentral